GACGAACGCUGGCGGCGGGCUUAACACAUGCAAGUCGAACGGAAAGGCCCUGCUUUUGUGGUGUGCUCGAGUGGCGAACGGGUGAGUAACACGUGAGUAACCUGCCCUUGACUUUGGGAUAACUUCAGGAAACUGGGGCUAAUACCGGAUAGGAGCUCCUGCUGGAUGGUGGGGGUUGGAAAGUUUCGGCGGUUGGGGAUGGACGCGCGGCUUAUCAGCUUGUUGGUGGGGUAGUGGCUUACCAAGGCAUUGACGGGUAGCCGGCCUGAGAGGGUGACCGGCCACAUUGGGACUGAGAUACGGCCCAGACUCCUACGGGAGGCAGCAGUGGGGAAUAUUGCACAAUGGGCGGAAGCCUGAUGCAGAAACGCCGCGUGCGGGAUGACGGCCUUCGGGUUGUAAACCGCUUUCGCCUGUGACGAAGCGUGAGUGACGGUAAUGGGUAAAGAAGCACCGGCUAACUACGUG
RNAcentral lists this ribosomal RNA (468 nucleotides) under uncultured bacterium. RNAcentral describes it as "partial 16S ribosomal RNA". It matches the Rfam family "Bacterial small subunit ribosomal RNA", at positions 28 to 507 of the family's 1533-position model. The record is from RNAcentral.